GAUGAACGCUGGCGGCGUGCCUAAUACAUGCAAGUCGAGCGAACGGACGAGAAGCUUGCUUCUCUGAUGUUAGCGGCGGACGGGUGAGUAACACGUGGAUAACCUACCUAUAAGACUGGGAUAACUUCGGGAAACCGGAGCUAAUACCGGAUAAUAUUUUGAACCGCAUGGUUCAAAAGUGAAAGACGGUCUUGCUGUCACUUAUAGAUGGAUCCGCGCUGCAUUAGCUAGUUGGUAAGGUAACGGCUUACCAAGGCAACGAUGCAUAGCCGACCUGAGAGGGUGAUCGGCCACACUGGAACUGAGACACGGUCCAGACUCCUACGGGAGGCAGCAGUAGGGAAUCUUCCGCAAUGGGCGAAAGCCUGACGGAGCAACGCCGCGUGAGUGAUGAAGGUCUUCGGAUCGUAAAACUCUGUUAUUAGGGAAGAACAUAUGUGUAAGUAUCUGUGCACAUCUUGACGGUACCUAAUCAGAAAGCCACGGCUAACUACGU
RNAcentral lists this ribosomal RNA (496 nucleotides) under uncultured bacterium. RNAcentral describes it as "partial 16S ribosomal RNA". It matches the Rfam family "Bacterial small subunit ribosomal RNA", at positions 28 to 506 of the family's 1533-position model. The record is from RNAcentral.